Molecule: small nucleolar RNA, 144 nt
Organism: Apodemus sylvaticus (European woodmouse)
Lineage: Eukaryota; Metazoa; Chordata; Mammalia; Rodentia; Muridae
Product: small nucleolar RNA SNORA48
Exons: 1
Source: RefSeq, a predicted model, not a curated record
CAUCUCCAGCAAUGAGCAAAGAGACACAGUGUUGGUGGUGGUGUUCUUAUGUCAGUCAGAGACAGAGCAGAUGGCAGGUUUUGUUCAUCCUAGCUUGAUGACUGGCUUUGGUGGCCAAAGCUGUCUUAUGUCUAGGACUCAUAA